This 573-nucleotide ribosomal RNA is filed under the name uncultured Borrelia sp. RNAcentral describes it as "bacterial SSU rRNA". It matches the Rfam family "Bacterial small subunit ribosomal RNA", at positions 94 to 653 of the family's 1533-position model. The record is from RNAcentral. Lineage: Bacteria; Pseudomonadati; Spirochaetota; Spirochaetia; Spirochaetales; Borreliaceae.
AGUGGCGAACGGGUGAGUAACGCGUGGAUGAUCUACCUACGAGAUGGGGAUAACUAUUAGAAAUAGUAGCUAAUACCGAAUAAAGUCAAUUAAUUUGUUAAUUGAUGAAAGGAAGCCUUUAAAGCUUCGCUUGUAGAUGAGUCUGCGUCUUAUUAGCUAGUUGGUAGGGUAAAUGCCUACCGAGGCGAUGAUAAGUAACCGGCCUGAGAGGGUGAACGGUCACACUGGAACUGAGAUACGGUCCAGACUCCUACGGGAGGCAGCAGCUAAGAAUCUUCCGCAAUGGGCGAAAGCCUGACGGAGCGACACUGCGUGAAUGAAGAAGGUCGAAAGAUUGUAAAAUUCUUUUAUAAAUGGGGAAUAAGCUUUGUAGGAAAUGACGAAGUGAUGACGUUAAUUUAUGAAUAAGCCCCGGCUAAUUACGUGCCAGCAGCCGCGGUAAUACGUAAGGGGCGAGCGUUGUUCGGGAUUAUUGGGCGUAAAGGGUGAGUAGGCGGAUAUAUAAGUCUAUGCAUAAAAUACCACAGCUCAACUGUGGAACUAUGUUGGAAACUAUAUGUCUAGAGUCUGAUA